AUACGGAGGGUCCAAGCGUUAUCCGGAUUCAUUGGGUUUAAAGGGUCCGCAGGCGGGAAAAUAAGUCAGUGGUGAAAGCCUACAGCUCAACUGUAGAGCUGCCAUUGAUACUGUUUUUCUUGAGUAUAGAUGAAGUGGGCGGAAUAUAUCAUGUAGCGGUGAAAUGCAUAGAUAUGAUAUAGAACACCGAUUGCGAAGGCAGCUCACUAAAUUAUUACUGACGCUCAGGGACGAAAGCGUGGGGAGCGAACAGGAUUAGAAACCCUAGUAGUCC
This 274-nucleotide ribosomal RNA is filed under the name uncultured bacterium. Its description in RNAcentral is "partial 16S ribosomal RNA". It matches the Rfam family "Bacterial small subunit ribosomal RNA", at positions 523 to 796 of the family's 1533-position model. The record is from RNAcentral.